This 51-nucleotide transfer RNA is filed under the name Cricotopus sp. 1 MEC-2013. RNAcentral's name for it is "partial tRNA-Ser". Lineage: Eukaryota; Metazoa; Arthropoda; Insecta; Diptera; Chironomidae. The record is from RNAcentral.
UUUUUAAAUUAAUUAAUUAGAUUAAUAAUCAAUGAGUUUGAAUAAGCAUAU